Molecule: transfer RNA, 76 nt
Filed under: Bacteroides thetaiotaomicron
Lineage: Bacteria; Pseudomonadati; Bacteroidota; Bacteroidia; Bacteroidales; Bacteroidaceae
Also listed under: 26 other names
Description: tRNA-Ala
Rfam family: tRNA
About the family: Transfer RNA (tRNA) molecules are approximately 80 nucleotides in length. Their secondary structure includes four short double-helical elements and three loops (D, anti-codon, and T loops).
Source: RNAcentral
GGGGGUAUAGCUCAGCUGGGAGAGCACCUGCUUUGCAAGCAGGGGGUCAUCGGUUCGAGCCCGAUUAUCUCCACCA